UACGUAGGGUGCAAGCGUUAAUCGGAAUUACUGGGCGUAAAGCGUGCGCAGGCGGUUAUGCAAGACAGAUGUGAAAUCCCCGGGCUCAACCUGGGAACUGCAUUUGUGACUGCAUGGCUAGAGUACGGUAGAGGGGGAUGGAAUUCCGCGUGUAGCAGUGAAAUGCGUAGAUAUGCGGAGGAACACCGAUGGCGAAGGCAAUCCCCUGGACCUGUACUGACGCUCAUGCACGAAAGCGUGGGGAGCAACGAGG
Molecule: ribosomal RNA, 253 nt
Filed under: uncultured bacterium
Lineage: Bacteria
Description: partial 16S ribosomal RNA
Rfam family: Bacterial small subunit ribosomal RNA
Source: RNAcentral